AGACAGCAGCAGCCGCGGUAAUACGUAGGGUGCAAGCGUUAAUCGGAAUUACUGGGCGUAAAGCGUGCGCAGGCGGUUUGUUAAGACAGAUGUGAAAUCCCCGGGCUCAACCUGGGAACUGCAUUUGUGACUGGCAAGCUAGAGUAUGGCAGAGGGGGGUGGAAUUCCGCGUGUAGCAGUGAAAUGCGUAGAUAUGCGGAGGAACACCGAUGGCGAAGGCAGCCCCCUGGGCCAAUACUGACGCUCAUGCACGAAAGCGUGGGGAGCAAACAGGAUUAGAUACCCGGGUAGUCCCUGUCUCUUAUAC
RNAcentral lists this ribosomal RNA (307 nucleotides) under uncultured bacterium. RNAcentral's name for it is "partial 16S ribosomal RNA". It matches the Rfam family "Bacterial small subunit ribosomal RNA", at positions 506 to 807 of the family's 1533-position model. The record is from RNAcentral.